UACGUAGGGUGCAAGCGUUGUCCGGAAUUAUUGGGCGUAAAGAGCUCGUAGGCGGUCUGUCACGUCGGCUGUGAAAACCCGAGGCUCAACCUCGGGCCUGCAGUCGAUACGGGCAAACUAGAGUACUGCAGGGGAGACUGGAAUUCCUGGUGUAGCGGUGAAAUGCGCAGAUAUCAGGAGGAACACCGGUGGCGAAGGCGGGUCUCUGGGCCGAUACUGACGCUGAGGAGCGAAAGCGUGGGGAGCGAACAGG
Molecule: ribosomal RNA, 253 nt
Filed under: uncultured bacterium
Lineage: Bacteria
Description: partial 16S ribosomal RNA
Rfam family: Bacterial small subunit ribosomal RNA
Source: RNAcentral